RNAcentral lists this ribosomal RNA (498 nucleotides) under uncultured bacterium. Its description in RNAcentral is "bacterial SSU rRNA". It matches the Rfam family "Bacterial small subunit ribosomal RNA", at positions 903 to 1397 of the family's 1533-position model. The record is from RNAcentral.
AAAGGAAUUGACGGGGGCCCGCACAAGCGGUGGAGUAUGUGGUUUAAUUCGACGCAACGCGAAGAACCUUACCAAGCCUUGACAUUGAUCGCAACGGGUAGAGAUACCCGGUUCCUCUUCGGAGGACGAGAAAACAGGUGGUGCACGGCUGUCGUCAGCUCGUGUCGUGAGAUGUUGGGUUAAGUCCCGCAACGAGCGCAACCCCUAUCUUCUGUUACCAGCGAGUUAAGUCGGGGACUCAGGAGAGACUGCCGCAGACAAUGCGGAGGAAGGCGGGGAUGACGUCAAGUCAUCAUGCCCCUUAUGGCUUGGGCUACACACGUACUACAAUGGCUCUUAAUAGAGGGAAGCGAAAGGGCGACCUGGAGCAAACCCCAAAAACAGAGUCCCAGUUCGGAUUGCAGGCUGCAACCCGCCUGCAUGAAGGAGGAAUCGCUAGUAAUCGCAGGUCAGCAUACUGCGGUGAAUACGUUCCCGGGCCUUGCACACACCGCCCGU